ACUGCACAUAGUUUAUCCUCCGCUGGACCUCUACUAAGCCCUGAGAAAAAAUAGUACAGUAUUUCAAUGGAAGCGGGAAGACUACUCUGUCCCGUUCCAACUCCAUGGAAGAAUCCCAAACGCCCUCUCUCUUCCACUUUCCCGCUCUUCACUGUUAGGGCUUCUUCGAAAUUACAGGGGAGUUACAGAGGGCCGAAGCCGAAGAGGGAUUUGGUGGCCGAUUGGGUAUCAAGCAACGACGGCGCCGUUCGAAGUUUGCCGAUAUAUGUUGGAGGGGUUUCUCUAAUGGCCGUUCUUUUUAACCGUACUGUUUCAGGCAUCGCACCUGUUGCCGAUGCUAGCAGCUCUCAGUCAAGAGCAGAUUUAUUAACACUUGGUUUGGCUGUUACCAGCAUUCUAACUGGUCUAGUGUGGCUCUCAAUUCGACCGAAAACUAUUGCUGUGGUAAAUCUUGAAGGUGUGGAGUGUAGGAGGGUCUAUUCUGGCCUCCCUGAUUUUGUUGUUUCUGAGUUACUAUGGGUAUGGGAAACUCUGUCACUUGCGACAUGCUGCAGAUCUUUAGUUGUUGUUUAUGAUUGCUUUUGUAUCCUUCAAAUCGGGGUUGCAGCUGAAUCUCCAAGUGAUAAUGAUGAUGCCAUUACUGUGGAUGCCCAUAAAUUGAUGCAGGGAUCUUUAUAUCAAGGUGUUAUGAAAUCUGGAGCACAGAGCUACUUGGCCAACCUAUCCCUUUAUCCUGGGAAAUCUGAGCUGCCAUUUCUGCCUCUGAAUACACAGGCAGUCAUUUUGCAGCCACUUGGAACCAAAGGAAUUGCGAUAAUUGGUGGUGACACAAUUAGGGGUUUCACAGGUUCUGAUCAGGCAUGGAUAACAUUAAUUGGAGAGAAGUUGGAUGCCUCACUUUCAAAAUUUGUCAUCAGUGCAGGAUAGAGUUUGAAAUUGAUCAAAAUGCCUGAAUUAACUAAAUAUUUUUUUUUUCCUUUUUCUGUUCACGACAUUUGUGGAGGCCCUUAAUCAAGGUCUUCCAGUAAGUGAUACUUUGACACUGAAGAAAUUGCACUAAACUGUGAACCUAGACUCUCAAGAUUAUGUGAAUGCUGCGGAUUUUUACUGCAACAUCGAAAUCUCAUAUUGACCUAAAAAAUGUAACACUUGAAGUAUAUUCACUCGUUUCAACAAUUUUCUUAAUAGAUGGAACCAAUUCUUUGGGGAAACAGGACCUGGCAUUGAUGCCAGCCAAAAUACUGGCAUUAUAAAUGUUAUUGCAUUAAGAAUCAGCUUUCUUCUGUAAAUUUUGGAACCCUGUGCCAUUUGAGCUCUAUUAACCUAAUGUAAAUUGUAAAAAGCGCUUAUUAUUCCACAAGCAAAUGCAUGAAGGUCAGCUGCUUAGAAAAUUGAAGUUCAUAUCAUCUUUACAACCCAUACACAUGCUAAAGAAUUGAAGUACUUUCAAGUCUGGUGCAAAUGAAGAAAACUGAAAACAACUCAAGAGUUCAUUUCAUAAUCCUAAGAGAAAUAAUCAUGUGAAAUUGUCACAAAUUAGAAAUCAUAAGAUCCCUACUAUUAAUCUGUGGUUUCUUCUGGUUGUAUGUCUACAAGAAGAAGAAAAAAGAUGAAUAACUCAGAUACAGAAAGGUGAAAAAAAAGAAAGAAUGUUUGUAUAAUCAAAUCUGUUGUACAUGGGCAGGCAGGCAGGCAGGCAGCUAUGAGUGCUACUAGCUGAAUUGUUGCUGAAGAGGCUUCUCCCAGGGCAGCAACUCAGUUGCAGGAUUGGCCAAGUUCGCCAACACAAAGUCCCUCAGACCGGUGUCCCAGACCUCACAGAACUGCAGCUGCCAAUUGGGUGGUUCAAUGGCUUCUGUUCCCAGCCCUGGAGCCCUAUCCCUGGAUCCUUCAUUCUGGUUCUCUUGCCAGUCAGCCACAUAGGUAGCCACUCUUCUGAAGAACUUGGCCCUAAAAACCUCCCAGACCUGGUACUUGUAGUGGUUUAUCACAGCCGUGCUCUGCGGCAGAUUCAGGUACCUGAAUCCCUUCCUCAGCCGAAAGUGGUGCACCACAUUGAGGAGGGUGCCGUCGAGGGCAUCAGGGCGAAUGAUAGAUUUAUGACGCUCAGGACUCUGGAGCCGGCAAGUGUACCCUACGGUAACACCCUGUGGAGGGAGUUUGCUCAACCCAGAUGGCCCAAAGCUAUGGCAAGCUGUUCUGAUCUCUGCAAUUGUUGAAGACGAGAAAUUUGCAACAAGGGUUUGAAGUGAAUUUUGACCUGGGAAACCAAGUCGUAUUGAUCCAUGGCGAUGGGGCGUUGGAAAAGGGAAGUAAAAGAACUCGUCGACAUCCAUGAAUCCCACCCAGUUGCACUCACUUCUUGCUCUCAGGGCACAGUGUGAAAAACCAGCUUCUUGUGUUUUGAUCCAUGGCCAGGUAUGCCUGCUCACAUUGUAGCCUUCCAUUUCAAGCUCUUCAAUAACUUCCUUAAUACCAUCAUCACUGUUGUUGUCGUAUAUGAACCAACGUUCGACUCCAAGCCAAGCGUGGUACAUAAUCCACUCUUGAAGGUUAUCAGCUUGGUUCCACACCAUGGUGCACACACAAAGCUCAUAAUUUUUGUGAUUCUUCUCAAUUUUUCCUGCAUUGAACAUCUUAGCAACAGAAGGCAGGGACCGGUAAACAGCGGUUCUAGCAUUGGUCCUGCCAUUGACAUGGGAGGCCACACCAAUGCUGACUCUAAUUCCUUCGGCCUUCUUCGGGUUCAUCUGAAUGCUGCGCGGCAGCGAGCACCUAAUCACUUCCUGAGCCGCUGUAAUUGCCCUGGUGGUGAGAGCAAAUCUUCCGUCUCCUUCCCAAUUUCCCAACCCGAACUGGCAAAUGAACUGCGCCGGAUUGGAAAAUCUACCCGGUCUGAGAUUAAGUCCCUUUGCGAACACAACCGCCGUGUUCCCAUCCAAUGCGGCCGCAUACGCCACCGUCUCCCACGAAUGAACCGUCUGGUUGAUCUGCGACAACUUAUCCUCCACCCCAUCGUCUUCCUUCCUCCCACUCUGCAAAUUAACGGCAGCAGAGUAAGUCCGAGGCGGGAGCGGACACCUGACAAUCCUCCUGUGCGCGUCAUACUCAUCCGCCGAUAACACAGGUCGCCGAACAAACUCUGGAUCCCUAAAAAUUUCUUCAGAAGCAUUCAACAAUUUGCGGUAAACACAGUCCAAUCCGUCACUCCCCUGCUUCCCACUCGACACCAACAACAACACGUGAUCAGGAAACAACACCCGAUCUUCAAUUCUCAACUGCAACGAUCUACUAUCGUAUAAAUCUCGAACCGAGCUACUCGCGGAAGACGACAACAGCGACAAACUGGGAACGAUCAGUACCGGGCGUAGCGCCGCCGAUCCAAUUCGCAACCGAUCCGACACGAAAAAGAUAAGAGCGAGGAACAAGAAGCAGAAGAAAAGAGACCUUACCGAGAACUGGAAUUGCGCGUGCGACUUCAGGGGGCGCUUUCGCCUGCGGCGCUGCUCCGACUCCAUGGAUUUUUGCUUCAAAUAGACGAUGAAGAACUUAGAAGUGCUUCGAAAGAAUCAGAGAGAGAGAGAGAGAGAUCUUGUGGUGGCGGUGGCGAUGGGGCAGUGGCGGUGGGGGGGGGGG
Malania oleifera is the source of this 3636-nucleotide RNA transcript. It is a transcript of the gene named protein COFACTOR ASSEMBLY OF COMPLEX C SUBUNIT B CCB4, chloroplastic, with no coding region annotated. The record is from RefSeq and is a predicted model, not a curated record. The transcript is spliced from 9 exons. NCBI's taxonomy places the organism in Eukaryota, Viridiplantae, Streptophyta, Magnoliopsida, Santalales, Ximeniaceae.